Chlorocebus sabaeus (green monkey) is the source of this 1538-nucleotide non-coding RNA. The record is from RefSeq and is a predicted model, not a curated record. NCBI's taxonomy places the organism in Eukaryota, Metazoa, Chordata, Mammalia, Primates, Cercopithecidae.
CAGAACUCGGCCCGUCGAGGGAGCUGAGCGGAGCUCCACUGGCCCGACCCUGCGGGAUAAGAAGACGGCUUGGCUCUCCGCAGGGGCCGUCGAAAAUACCCCUGGGGUUGGUCCGCGACCACGACGAGCGACCCUAUUGGCCCAAUACCGGGAAGCGAGGCGGAGCUUCCUCUUUCCGAGCCCCACCUGGGUUUUCAGCGCGCCUCAGGACUGUGCGCCUGCGCGAAGUGCACAGGCUGUGAGCUGGACCUCGGCUGCGCUCUGUAUCUGGAGUUGGACAGGCGGCCGGGACUGGGGACUAUGGAAGCGGACUGGGUAGUACCUGUUGAGCCGAACAAAGGGUACAACCUCAGAGUACUGGUGCUUGAGCAAGGAAUCCCCCUGCUCAUCUUUCAUGUGCUGCAAGUCCUGUUUGAAAAUCAGUACUUCACAGCGUAAUAAAAUUCACUUGGCAUUUAUUGAGGACGCACGGUGUGUCAGGGAUUGUGAUGGGUCUUUAUGUGGCUAUCUCAUUUCAGCUUUACCACAAAUCUGUGAGAAUGGUACGAUUUUUCUCAUUUUAUAAAGUAAUUUGGCUUUAUAAAAUGAGUCUAGACCAGAAUUCUAGACCAGAAUGCAGUCUAGAAGUCAAAACUUCCAACUGCCAAGUGCUAAAACCACUGGUACAACAUAGCUGCCUAAAGGCAUUUAAGGCACACAAGAGGACAGAAAUGCACAAGGUUAUAUCAGAUUGUGACUCAAAGAUGAGAUUUUUAUUUUAGUAUCAUUCAAAGGUGAAACACAGCAACAGCAAUAUAAUGAAGUUUAAAGUCCCUGUCCUCAAUGAAUGUACAAUGUAGUGGGGAACAAAAACAAUGAUUAUUAAAGUGCUAGUUAAGUCUUAUUUUUAAAGAGACCCUAUCUUGUCCAGGCUGCAGUGCAGUGGCUAUUCACAGACGAUCGUAUCACACUCCACCCUCGAACUCCUGGGCGCAAGCUCUCCUACCACCUCAGAUUCCUGAGUAGCUGGGACUGUAUGUAGGCAUGUACCACCGCACCUGGCUCUUAAGACGUGAUAAUUUAUAAAAUAAUUCUACAGCCUCUUCCUUACUCUUCCCCUUUCUUUAUUCCAACUGGCAUAUGCUCUUUUCCUGGUUAAUGAGUCAUCUACAGUGUUUUCUGGUGGAUAAUGCAUCCCGAUCAACCAGAGAAAAAACAGUAAGAAAAAGCUGUGUUCUGUUGCAAUCCCUCUGUGAUUUGUCUAAUACAACAGAAGUGGCUGCACCCCUGCAGAAAAAGAGUUUCGCUUCCUUUCUCCUUAUACAGUUACAAAAUGUCCAUUUCAAGAUAUUCAAAGAAUAAAGUAUUAGGGAGAAAGUAAAAUCCCCUGAACUCCCAACAAAACCACUUUUAACGUUUUGGUGCCCAUACUUUCAUGUAUUUCUUGAUUCAUGUACACCCCAAAUAUUUAUGUAAAUCUUAACAUACAUUUUUAAAUAAAAUUGUACUACACAAUCAAUACAACAUGCCUUGGAGAAUAGAGACAAGCUAAAAUAAAA